This 253-nucleotide ribosomal RNA is filed under the name uncultured bacterium. RNAcentral describes it as "partial 16S ribosomal RNA". It matches the Rfam family "Bacterial small subunit ribosomal RNA", at positions 524 to 776 of the family's 1533-position model. The record is from RNAcentral.
UACGUAGGAGACGAGCGUUGUCCGGAAUUACUGGGCGUAAAGCGCGUGUAGGCGGAUGAGCAAGUCUGCUGUGAAAGCUCCUGGCUUAACCGGGAGUGGUCGGUGGAAACUGCUCGUCUGGAGGACGGUAGAGGUAGGUAGAAUUCCCGGUGUAGUGGUGAAAUGCGUAGAGAUCGGGAGGAAUACCUGUGGCGAAGGCGGCCUACUGGGCCGGACAUGACGCUGAGACGCGAAGGCGUGGGGAGCGAACGGG